CCACUCCUCCUCUGCACAGGUUUUGAUAAAUCUCCCCCAAUGUUCAUAGACACAAUGGGCAGGCAGACCCUAUGGUCUACAUAGGGACCCUUUAGGCGACCACCUUUAAAAAAAAAUUGGAAACUAGAGAGCAAAUGGUGAGAUCUGUCGGGUUCGACUGGAAGUGAAAAUUACAGCUUACGAGGCCGUUCAAAGGAAAGAAGUCCAAAUCUCAUCUACCUCCUUGGCACCGAACCCCUGUCAUUUCCAGCUGAAAAUGAUCACAGUGAUGUCUAGUGGUACGCCCCCCGCACCUGAGAGCUUUGGCUCUCACCCCCCGCACUUCCAGCUAUUGACUUGCCGUCUGCUGUAUGGACACUUGGAAUAAAGCAUCGUUUGGCAAAUACUUCUCAGUGGGCUGCAGUGAAGCUGGAUUUUCAGCUUUUUUGGAAACCACUAUGCUACAAUAUGAGCAACUUCUACCUUCUUCUACAAACCCUUCCUCACUGGCCUGUAGAUUGUAGGCCCUCAUGGGUGGGUUCUCCUCUACAUAGAUAAUCCAAAUUCUAAGCUGCUCCCAAAGUACAAAGAGGUCAAAGUACCAUAGAAUAAGCUGUGAGCAAUCACGUGGAUAGAUCCCUGUUGACAGAGGCAAUAUUUUUGGAAAGAAUCGGCAAUAGAAAUGAGGAAGUACAAUGACUAUGAAGGUUUUUACUCCAGAUCACUGUAUCUACUAGCCAUGAGUUAAAACCAACUUGGGAUCUUUCAUCAAGCCAAAAUGACACUAAGGACUUGGAGACCUUCUAUGUUCCACAGAAAAUGAUACUGAGAUAAAUUGUUCAAAUUUCCAGUUUUUCCUAAAUAAAUGAACUUGAUCCAAACUCUUUUUGGUAUAAUGGAUACUCCAUGGUCCCCUUCUGAUUCAGAAGUUUCAAAAUGAACAACCUGUUUCUCCAAUAAAUAACAUCUACAGAUGACAUGAUAAUAUAAACUACUUAGGCUGAGACAACAGUCAUAGCGAACUCCCAUUACUAUAUGUAUGCACUCUUAUAAGGCAACCCUUUCGUAGAUUUAUAUAUUUCAUAACUAUUUCUUUCUGUACAAACUUUUUCCUGAACGAUACCAUGCAAACCAAUAAAUUAAAGGAUUUGACCAUUUAACAGAAAUUUGACCUUAUUUUACUUUAAAAAUUUUACAAUCCCAGUAACUACAUUUAUUUUUUGAUGGGGAAUUAAUACAAAACACGAAUAAAGCUAAAAUAAUUUCCAAAAAUGUUAAGAAAGGCUCUGAUCUUGUAUAGAGGUCAAUGGGAUCCAUUCUGAUCAGUUAGGAUCCAUUACAAAACAAUUCUAUAAAAACAGGAGCCUAGACACCAGUGUGAUUAGAUGUAUGUAUUUUUGGAAAGGGUUUCAUGAAAUUCCAAUUUAAUGUAUUUUUACAAAUUUCUGAUCAUUGAGGUUUCAAGUGGGUGGGGGGACCCCCAAACCGGCAACUCUCCAGGUAAAUUCAUGGGAGACAUGGAAACAGAGGAAGUGCAGAACAAGGGACUGAGGACACUUAUUCUCUGAGUUGGAGGGUAUCCCAGUCAUCAGACCCCCAACAAUCACACAUUAAAUGCUUACCAAAUAAAUAUAAAGUACACCUAAAUUGCAGAAAGUCCCCCUUUCAGUUAAAUCCAACCAUGAUCAUGAUUACGAGUACAGUUCCAAUUUUCGGCAGCCACAAAAAAAGGCAUUCUGUUAAUGUAGGUUUUGGCUAAAAAUGACAGCGAUAGAUAUCUCAACACGGUUCGGGCUGACUGGGGAAGAAGAUUUCUAGCUUGACUUUAAAAUCUGAAUAUAAUACUUUCUACAUGACAUACAUAUCUUUAAAAAAAAACACACACACACCUGAUACAUAUACAAUACAUAAAUCUGUUAUGCAUGUAAAGAUUUUUGGGUCCCAUUUUACAAGUUCAAUUUCACAUGCAGAACACAGAUGAAAACCAAAAAUAAAUACUUUCCAUUUUUUUCUUUGAAUCAAAAUAAAUAAAUAAACACAAUGCAUAUUGCUUAAAACAUCACCAUCAUAAUGUCACGCCCUUCGAAUUCUACCUUCUUUAAUUUGGGCACAGAAAAUCUUUUGUUUUCUCAGCUAUACCCACUGGUGACCAAAUACCUCGGUAUAUGUUUUAAGCAUUCCCCUAGUUCAGAUAUCCCAUGCAUUGUCAGAGAAACAUGCCACUUUAAAAUUACAUAUUCCACUUAACCCCUUUACUGCCUAAUAACUGCACUGCAAAAAAAUAAAAAUAAACAUUUGCAGGGUGUUGAGUAAAAAAUAGCAGCAAGGGGUUAAUAUUGCCUAUAUAUUGAUUCGAUUGUCCAACCUGGCCUAGAGCAUAUUGGGAACUUUUUUAUGACACCUUUGUAGGGAUCGGCCAUCUGUCUUAAGGCUUGGGGAAAAUAGAUUCAACCAACUCAGGCCAUUUUUGUUUUUUUGCAUAACAUAACAACCCGCAUUUGAUUCUGGAACUCUAAAGCCCAUUGUUAACUGAUUUAAGAGGAUGGGGAGAGGAUAUUUAGCUUUGGAAGAAGGAUGCACAGUUCAUUUUCUUAUGACAUCAUUAAACAGUACUUUACACCAUUGUGGUCAUCAAAUACUAUAAAGAGGGCAGCUUAGAUAACAGGCAGAAUUGGUUUGAGUGACAAUAUUGUAGAGUUAACAUCGCCAAUUUGAAUUACCGUAUUUUUCGCCGUAUAAGACGCACUUUUUCUUCCCCAAAACUGAGGGGGAAAAGUUGGUGCGUCUAAUACGGCAAAUACACAUUAAAACCCUGUCCUAUCAUGGCGGUCCCUGCGGCCAUCAACGUCCGGGACCCGCGGCUAAUACAGGACAUCACCGAUCGCGGUCAUGCCCUGUAUUAACCCUUCAGAUGCGGCGAUCAAAGCUGACCGCCGCGUCUGAAGCGAAAGUGACACUAACCUGGCUGCUCAGUCAGGCUGUUCAGGACCGCCGCGGUGAAAUCGUGGCGUCCCGAACAGCUUACAGGACACCGGGAGGGACCUUACCUGCCUCCUCGGUGUCUGCUCCGUGCCGGGAUCCCCUGCAUGGCUGGCGCUCUCCUUCGUCGUCAUCACAUCGUGCGUAGCGACGUGAUGGCGGCGACGAAGAGCGAGGAUACCGGGCAGCAGAGAUGUUCCGGAGCAACAGGGACACCCCGAGGACACGGCGACAGCGAUGGCAGCGGUGACGAGCGGUGACGGGUCCAGAGCGGCGUGGACACGUGAGUAUUACCUUCUAUACCAGUGGUCUUCAACCUGCGGACCUCCAGAUGUUGCAAAACUACAACUCCCAGCAUGCCCGGACAGCCAACGGCUGUCCGGGCAU
This is a long non-coding RNA of Hyla sarda, 3345 nucleotides long. RefSeq lists it as uncharacterized. The record is from RefSeq and is a predicted model, not a curated record. NCBI's taxonomy places the organism in Eukaryota, Metazoa, Chordata, Amphibia, Anura, Hylidae. The transcript has 4 exons.